RNAcentral lists this ribosomal RNA (274 nucleotides) under uncultured bacterium. Its description in RNAcentral is "partial 16S ribosomal RNA". It matches the Rfam family "Bacterial small subunit ribosomal RNA", at positions 523 to 796 of the family's 1533-position model. The record is from RNAcentral.
AUACGUAGGGUGCGAGCGUUAAUCGGAAUUACUGGGCGUAAAGCGUGCGCAGGCGGCUUUGCAAGACAGAGGUGAAAUCCCCGGGCUCAACCUGGGAACUGCCUUUGUGACUGCAAGGCUAGAGUACGGCAGAGGGGGAUGGAAUUCCGCGUGUAGCAGUGAAAUGCGUAGAUAUGCGGAGGAACACCAAUGGCGAAGGCAAUCCCCUGGGCCUGUACUGACGCUCAUGCACGAAAGCGUGGGUAGCAAACAGGAUUAGAUACCCUAGUAGUCC